This is a long non-coding RNA of Zalophus californianus (California sea lion), 353 nucleotides long. RefSeq lists it as uncharacterized. The transcript has 4 exons. NCBI's taxonomy places the organism in Eukaryota, Metazoa, Chordata, Mammalia, Carnivora, Otariidae. The record is from RefSeq and is a predicted model, not a curated record.
CCCUACUCUCCUCCCCUCUAGAACCCUCAGUUUGUUUUUCAGAGUCCAUCAUCUGUCAUGAAGUACAGGGCCGUAUCACAUUAUUGACUGAAGGAUCCACAACAGGCUACAGUUUGUGAGUCAAGGAUCAGACUCAUUUUGUGAAAUAGAGCUCAUCAAAAGAACUUUUCUUGAAUCAGUUCAACAGAUUCAGAAUCAGAAGUAUCUUUUUAUUAAAAGCAUAAACACUGGAAUCAUAUUGACCCAGCUCCUCUGGCUCAGGUCAUGAUCCCAGCGCCCUGAGAUCGAGCCCCGCAUAGGGCUCCCUGCUCCACAGGAAGCCUGCUUCUCCCUCUCCCGCUCCCCAUGCUUGU